UACAGAGGGUGCAAGCGUUGCUCGGAACCAUUGGGCGUAAAGGGUAGGUAGGUGGUUGCAUAUGUCUGGGGUGAAAUCCCUGAGCUUAACUCAGGACGUGCCUUGGAAACGGUGUAACUAGAGUACUAGAGAGGUUCGUGGAAUUCCUGGUGUAGCGGUGAAAUGCGUAGAGAUCAGGAGGAACAUCAGCGGCGAAGGCGGCGAACUGGAUAGUAACUGACACUCAACUACGAAAGCGUGGGGAGCAAACAGG
This 253-nucleotide ribosomal RNA is filed under the name uncultured bacterium. RNAcentral's name for it is "partial 16S ribosomal RNA". It matches the Rfam family "Bacterial small subunit ribosomal RNA", at positions 524 to 776 of the family's 1533-position model. The record is from RNAcentral.